This 484-nucleotide ribosomal RNA is filed under the name uncultured bacterium. RNAcentral describes it as "partial 16S ribosomal RNA". It matches the Rfam family "Bacterial small subunit ribosomal RNA", at positions 30 to 507 of the family's 1533-position model. The record is from RNAcentral.
AUUGAACGCUGGCGGCAGGCCUAACACAUGCAAGUCGAGCGGAUGAAUGGAGCUUUCUCCUGGAUUCAGCGGCGGACGGGUGAGUAAUGCCUAGGAAUCUGCCUGGUAUUGGGGGAUAACGUCCGGAAACGGGCGCUAAUACCGCAUACGUCCUGAUGGUGAAAGGGGGGGAUCUUCGGACCUCACGCUAUCUGAUGAGCCUAGGUCGGAUUAGCUAGUUGGUGGGGUAAAGGCCUACCAAGGCGACGAUCCGUAACUGGUCUGAGAGGAUGAUCAGUCACACUGGAACUGAGACACGGUCCAGACUCCUACGGGAGGCAGCAGUAGGGAAUAUUGGACAAUGGGCGAAAGCCUGAUCCAGCCACGCCGCGUGUGUGAAGAAGGUCUUCGGAUUGUAAAGCACUUUAAGUUGGGAGGAAGGGCAGUAAGUUAAUACCUUGCUGUUUUGACGUUACCAACAGAAUAAGCACCGGCUAACUUCGUG